Molecule: ribosomal RNA, 460 nt
Filed under: uncultured bacterium
Lineage: Bacteria
Description: partial 16S ribosomal RNA
Rfam family: Bacterial small subunit ribosomal RNA
Source: RNAcentral
CCUACGGGUGGCAGUAGUGAGGAAUAUUGGUCAAUGGACGAGAGUCUGAACCAGCCAAGUAGCGUGAAGGAUGACUGCCCUAUGGGUUGUAAACUUCUUUUAUAUGGGAAUAAAAUGUUCCACGUGUGGGAUUUUGUAUGUACCAUAUGAAUAAGGAUCGGCUAACUCCGUGCCAGCAGCCGCGGUAAUACGGAGGAUCCGAGCGUUAUCCGGAUUUAUUGGGUUUAAAGGGAGCGUAGGUGGAUAGUUAAGUCAGUUGUGAAAGUUUGCGGCUCAACCGUAAAAUCGCAGUUGAAACUGGCAGUCUUGAGUACAGUAGAGGUGGGCGGAAUUCGUGGUGCAGCGGUGAAAUGCUUAGAUAUCACGAAGAACUCCGAUUGCGAAGGCAGUUCACUGGACUGCAACUGACACUGAGGCUCGAAAGUGUGGGUAUCAAACAGGAUUAGAUACCCCAGUAGUC